CAGAACGAACGCUGGCGGCAUGACUUAACACAUGCAAGUCGAACGGGCGCCUUCGGGCGUUAGUGGCGCACGGGUGAGUAACGCGUGGGAACCUGUCAUGAAGUGGGGAACAACCACUGGAAACGGUGGCUAAUACCGCAUACGCCCUGAGGGGCAAAGGCUUCGGCCGCUUUGUGAGGGGCCCGCGUCCGAUUAGCUAGUUGGUGGGGUAACGGCCUACCAAGGCUACGAUCGGUAGCUGGUCUGAGAGGAUGAUCAGCCACACUGGGACUGAGACACGGCCCAGACUCCUACGGGAGGCAGCAGUGGGGAAUAUUGGACAAUGGGCGAAAGCCUGAUCCAGCAAUGCCGCGUGAGUGAAGAAGGCCUUAGGGUUGUAAAGCUCUUUCGCCUGCGACGAUGAUGACGGUAGCAGGAGAAGAAGCCCCGGCUAAUUCCGUG
Molecule: ribosomal RNA, 441 nt
Filed under: uncultured bacterium
Lineage: Bacteria
Description: bacterial SSU rRNA
Rfam family: Bacterial small subunit ribosomal RNA
Source: RNAcentral